Molecule: small RNA, 131 nt
Filed under: Klebsiella sp. BIGb0149
Lineage: Bacteria; Pseudomonadati; Pseudomonadota; Gammaproteobacteria; Enterobacterales; Enterobacteriaceae
Description: Raoultella sp. BIGb0149 Salmonella enterica Typhi npcRNA 44
Rfam family: Salmonella enterica Typhi npcRNA 44
Source: RNAcentral
CUUUAAAAAUCUGGAUCAAGCUGAAAAUUGAAACGACACACUGUUUCCUUUCUCCGUAAUAAGAAAGGAAAAGCGGUGUGUUCGAGUCUCUCAAAUUUUCACAACACGACUGUUUUACGAAACAGCUUCGG